This 24-nucleotide non-coding RNA is filed under the name Arabidopsis thaliana (thale cress). Lineage: Eukaryota; Viridiplantae; Streptophyta; Magnoliopsida; Brassicales; Brassicaceae. The record is from RNAcentral.
UUUAAUUUCUCGUAGUGCUAAUGU